RNAcentral lists this ribosomal RNA (617 nucleotides) under Vibrio sp. P3. Its description in RNAcentral is "bacterial SSU rRNA". It matches the Rfam family "Bacterial small subunit ribosomal RNA", at positions 55 to 653 of the family's 1533-position model. Lineage: Bacteria; Pseudomonadati; Pseudomonadota; Gammaproteobacteria; Vibrionales; Vibrionaceae. The record is from RNAcentral.
AUGCAGUCGAGCGGAACGAGUUAACUGAACCUUCGGGGAACGUUAACGGCGUCGAGCGGCGGACGGGUGAGUAAUGCCUGGGAAAUUGCCCUGAUGUGGGGGAUAACCAUUGGAAACGAUGGCUAAUACCGCAUAAUAGCUUCGGCUCAAAGAGGGGGACCUUCGGGCCUCUCGCGUCAGGAUAUGCCCAGGUGGGAUUAGCUAGUUGGUGAGGUAAGGGCUCACCAAGGCGACGAUCCCUAGCUGGUCUGAGAGGAUGAUCAGCCACACUGGAACUGAGACACGGUCCAGACUCCUACGGGAGGCAGCAGUGGGGAAUAUUGCACAAUGGGCGCAAGCCUGAUGCAGCCAUGCCGCGUGUAUGAAGAAGGCCUUCGGGUUGUAAAGUACUUUCAGCAGUGAGGAAGGUGUUGUAGUUAAUAACUGCAUCAUUUGACGUUAGCUGCAGAAGAAGCACCGGCUAACUCCGUGCCAGCAGCCGCGGUAAUACGGAGGGUGCGAGCGUUAAUCGGAAUUACUGGGCGUAAAGCGCAUGCAGGUGGAUGAUUAAGUCAGAUGUGAAAGCCCGGGGCUCAACCUCGGAAUUGCAUUUGAAACUGGUUAUCUAGAGUACUGUA